GUAAAGCACUUUCAGUAGGGAGGAAGGUAGUGUAGUUAACACCUGCACUAUUUGACGUUACCUACAGAAGAAGCACCGGCUAACUCCGUGCCAGCAGCCGCGGUAAUACGGGAGGGUGCGAGCGUUAAUCGGAAUUACUGGGCGUAAAGCGCAUGCAGGCGGCCUGUUAAGUCAGAUGUGAAAGCCCGGGGCUUAACCUCGGAAUUGCAUUUGUAAACUGGCAGGCUAGAGUCUUGUAGAGGGGGGUAGGAAUUUCAGGUGUAGCGGUGAAAUGCGUAGAGAUCUGAAGGAAUACCAGUGGCGAAGGCGGCCCCCUGGACAAAGACUGACGCUCAGAUGCGAAAGCGUGGGGAGCAAACAGGAUUAGAUACCCUGGUAG
Molecule: ribosomal RNA, 379 nt
Filed under: uncultured bacterium
Lineage: Bacteria
Description: bacterial SSU rRNA
Rfam family: Bacterial small subunit ribosomal RNA
Source: RNAcentral